AAGCAUUGUAUCAAUGAACCAUCGUUCUUAAAAUAUGAAUACAUAUGGGCCGUCAAGGCCUCUGACAUAUUAUACAAAAUGAACCUUUAUGUGUCUACAAAGCCUCUAAGAUUAUUUGAUAUCAAAUGGGACAGGGUACCGGCCUACCCAUAAGUCUGUAGCAAAACUUUGAGACGAUGACUCACAGACUCGGCUGCACUCCUAAUGAGGUGGAGUCUUACCGAUCCUUCACUGAAUGCUAACCUCGACUACUAUGAGGCUCAUCAAACUGAUUAUCUAUACCUGCAGGCAUGAAUGUAGCGUCCCCAACAAAAUGACGUCAGUACGAAUAAUGUACUGAGUAUGUAAGACAUCUAAAUAAAUAUAUAAAGAGUAUGGAAAAAACAUGGUGUAAAGGACUCAACCUGUAAGUCCGGAUAACUCUGUAUAUCAUUUAAUACUUAUAGUGUCAUGCAUAUGCAUAUGAAUAUUAUGUCGUGCAUAGGUAAAUGUGUUCAUAACAUCAUCAAGCUUCUAAGGGCAUCCCAUCAUAUAAUCUCAGCCACUAUGGGCAAAAUCAUCGUCGUAUACCAACUGAUCAGAUGGUGGUGUGUAUAUAACGCCAUAACCUUUCCCAUAUCCCAUAUAUAUAUACUUAUAUAUACGUGUAUAUAACGCCAUAACAUCAUCACACCUCUGAGGGUGUCCCAUCAUAUCAUCUCGGCCACUGUGGAAAAUCAUCAACGUAUACCAGCUGAUCAGGUGGUGGUGCGUAUAUAACGCCAUAACCUUUUCCCAUAUUCCAUGUAUAUAUAUAUAUAUAUAUAUAUGCGUAUAUAACGUCGUCUGGGUCAUGGGUAAAUGCACAUGUGAAUGAAUGCAAUGCAUGAGAAGUACGUUAAUAAAAUCUCUCGAAAUAUCAUAACACCAUUAUCCCUUUGAUUAAAAUCAAUCAAGUUUUUCACUGCAUAUUCAGCCAAGUCAGUACGCCCAUGAAUUUUGCAGCCGUUAGGCAAGGUACCCCAUGUAACUGAAAAGGACAUUGAGGUUAAAGUAAACAAAGAAAUGUCUUCAUGAGCAGUAUAUGAAAGAUGCAAUGUCUCUAGACGACUUCCUUCACAGAAAGCUUGAGUUCCAAUAUAAAACCAUCCUUACAAGUUAAAACACAGUUUAAAUUACCAAACUCUUUUCUUUGGGAAAGGUGGUGCAUGUGCCAACUUAUGUGCACCUUGACUAAAUUUAUCUGGUACCUGCUACCUCCCGCUAACACAAGUAUCUGGUGACUCUGUUCACCAAGGCUUAAGACAAAUGAGAAGAAAUAACCUAGAGUUAUGUGUCUCCAAUGAGAUUGGAACAAGAAACCUAAGAAUCUUAGGUUUUGAAAAUUGUCACACUCUUAAUGGACGCACAUUACAAAUCUUUGAAGUAUUUGGGAAAAUAUUAAACGUCCAACACUUCAUUAGAAGACUCAAACAUGUGUAUUGGGAAUACAAUUUAAAUUUCUAAUUAUUGUAUUCUGGAUUAAUUGAAUGAUUGUCAUUGUUUGGACAACAUAGAAUGAUAAGGUUCAUUUUAUAGAACUAGAUACUACCUGCUUUAACAUAAUUUUCGCUCGAGAAAAUAAGAAACUAUGUCUCUAGAUUUAGAAAUACUAAUAGAAAGAUGAAAUCAAGUUCCACCUACACUUUAUAUAAACAGUAGAAAGAACAAUUUUGUUCAUGAAUUGUAACAAGCCUAAAAUGACUAAAUCUGUAUCAAGCAGUAGAAGUGAGAAGAUAAAAUGUGGUAGUGUGGCGUAGAACAACCAUUAUCUCAACAGCACCCCCCUUCUUUUGGGGUAAGUCAUGAUGAUAAUAGCUUUUCCAAACCAGAUUGUGAAUGUCAACAAAAGAAACAUGAACUUACGAACAGCAUGCAAGCCGAGUAGGCUGUUGAAGACACUAACAUUCAAAGAUUACAAACUUUUAUUGGCAUUGAAGCAAAGCCCCAGAGAUAUACAUCUCAAUAAGCCAAAACUCGAGGGCAUAAGAUGAAUAGAACAAACCUGAAAUAAUUGUCAUUGAAUGAAUUUUCGAAUUAACCAGCUUCUCGCAGACAGGAAAAAUCCCUUGAAGUUUAAAUUGAAGCCAUUAUUAUAUUAUAUAUGGUGAUCUAAUUUUGUAAAAAGCUUUCAUCUUCUAACAAUGUGACACCCAUUCUAAAUGACUAAUGAGUCAUUAAUUUGAAGGUGAGGGGGCUGCCACGUGGGGAUGAGGUGGGUAAGUUUAAUCUUUAUCCACUUAUUAGGUAAUUAGGAAAUAUUCCGUUACCCGAUAAUUAAGCAAUUUCCCGCAUAAUUAAGAAAUGUCUCAAAUUACUUAAAACUUUACAUAUUUUAAUACACUUUAUACAUCACACUAUCAUGGUCAUGUGGUACCAUAUAAAAUAAAUAUAUACACUAUUAUUUCAUUAAAACAUCCAUGUAAAAAUACAUAUAUUUUCUCAAUAUUCUAUUUUUCCUAGUCUCAUAUAAAGAGUACAAAUUUUUCAUAUGCUUAAUUUUUAAAUGGUAAAAUAUAACCUUAUUUCCUUGUGAGAAUAUAAUUUAUAUCUUUACAAUAAUGAAAUUCUUUGUAUACUAUAAAUUCUCAAAACGGAAAAAGGAUAACUUUUCUUAUGAUAAAAUACUAUCUACUCUUAUAAUAAAUAAAACCUCAUUUAUAAACUCCCACAUGUCAUAUAUUUAAUUUAAAACUUAUCACAACCAUAUAAAAUCGUAUCAAUCAACUUUUACCGAAAAUGAUUUACUUCAAAGAAAAUACAUAUCAAGUCAAAAUAUAGUAGUUCCGAAAUUCUUCAAACUUACAGGGUCUUACAUCCCUAUCUUCAUGUACCUUAAUCCCUUCCAAAUCAUAUGUUAUUACUUCGACGAAUCCUAACUUUAAAGUACAGGAUGUAACAUCCUUCCCCCCUUUAGAACAUUCAUCCUCGAAUGUUAACUCUUAGAGAUUUGCAAAAUUUUCAAUAGGGUAUCCUCUGUAAAUUGAACUUAAAACCCAAUCUAUUUCUGAAGUCUCGACUAUUCACAACCUUGAGUAUCUUGUAUCUUCUUCACCUUUACCUUACUUACUUUUCAAUUUCGCAUCGUAUCUUCUAUUUCUUUUAUAACAUCCCUUUCACAUAAGUAGAAAUUACAUCUACGCCUUAAAGCUCUAUUAUGAUAGCACCUCUAGUGCAUACGAAACCUGGUGAAAACUUCAUAUUGACUUCUUACGGCUCAGUUCUAUGGCACAAUCGGGAAACAAAAGAAGGGUAACAUUUCCUAAAUACCUUAUAGCCUCUCCAUUAUAAAUGUGGCGCGCAACACAUCCAUAAGUGAGACUCUACUAGGCACGACUUUGUAGACUCCCUAGGACACGACUCGUUCUGAUACCACUUUGUCACGCCCCAAACCUGGGGAGGCGUGGCUGACACCCGGUGCCGUACUGGACCGAGCGAACCACUCUGCAACUCCUUUUUCUUCUUCUGCAACUAUCAUGGGCCAACAUGGCCACAACUCGUAAUGUAUAACUAUAAGUGGGCAAGCAUUGUAUCAAUGAACCAUCGUUCUUAAAAUAUGAAUACAUAUGAGCCAUCAAGGCAUCUGACAUAUUAUACAAAAUAAACCUUUGUGUGUCUACAAAGCCUCUAAGAGUAUUUGACAUCAAAUGGGACAGGGUACCGGCCUACCCAUAAGUCUGUAACAAAACUUUGAGACGAUGACUCACAGACUCGGCUGUACUCCGAAUGAGGUGGAGUCUUACCGAUCCUUCGCUGAAUGCUAACCUAGACUACUAUGAGGGAUCAUCAAACUGAUUAUCUAUACCUGCAGACAUGAAUGCAGCGUCCCCAACAAAAGGACAUCAAUACGAAUAAUGUAUUGAGUAUAUGAGGCAUCUAAAUAAAUAUAUAAAGAGUAUGGAAGAAACAUGGAGUAAAGGACUCAACCUGUAAGUCUGGAUAACUCUGUAUAUCAUUUAAUACUUAUAGUGUCAUGCAUAUGCGUAUGAAUGUUAUGUCGUGCAUAGGUACAUGUGUUCAUAACAUCAUCAAGCCUCUGAGGGCAUCCCAUCAUAUCAUCUCAGCCACUAUGGGCAAAAUCAUCAUCGUAUACCAGCUGAUCAGAUGGUGAUGCGUAUAUAACGCCAUAACCUUUCCCAUAUCUCAUAAACAAACCAGAUUGUGAAUGUCAACAAAAUAAACAUGAACUUACGAACAGCAUGCAAGCUGAGUAGGCUGUUGAAGACACUUACAUUCAAAGAUUACAAACUUUUAUUGGCAUUGAAGCAAAGCCCCAGAGAUAUAUAUCUCAAUAAGCCAAAACUUGAGGGCAUAAGAUGAACAGAACAAACCUGAAGUAAUUGUCAUUGAUUGAAUUUUCGAAUUAACCAGCUUCUCGCAGACAGGAAAAAUCCCUUGAAGUUUAAAUUGAAGCCAUUAUUAUACUAUAUAUGGUGACCUAAUUUAGUAAAAAGCUUUCAUCUUCUAACAGUGUGACACCCAUUCUAAAUGACUAAUGAGUCAUUAAUUUGAAGGUGAGGGGCCUGCCACGUGGGGAUGAGGUGGGUAAGUUUAAUCUUUAUCCACUUAUUAGGUAAUUAGGAAAUAUUCCGUUACCCGAUAAUUAAGCAAUUUCCCGCAUAAUUAAGAAAUGUCUCAAAUUACUUAAAACUCUACUUAUUUUUAAUAUACUUUAUACAUCAUACUAUCAUGGUCAUGUGGUACCAUAUAAAUAAAUAUAUACAUUUCAUUAAAACAUCCAUGUAAAAAUACAUAUAUUUUCUCAAUAUUUUAAUUUUCCUAGUCUCAUAUAAAGAGUAAAUGUUUUUCAUAUGCUUAAUUUUAAAUGGUAAAAUAUAACCUUAUUUUCUUGUGAGAAUAUAAUUUAUAUCUUUACAAUAAUGAAAUUCUUUUUAUACUAUAAAUUCUCAAAACGGAAAAAGGAUAACUUUUCUUAUGAUAAAAUACUAUCUACUCUUAUAAUAAAUAAAACCUCAUUUAUAACCUCCCGCAUGUCAUGUAUUUAAUUUAAAACUUAUCACAACCAUAUAAAAUCGUAUCUAUCAACUUUUACCGAAAAUGAUUUAGUUCAAAGAAAAUACAUAUCAAGCCAAUAUAUAGUAGUUCUGAAAUUCUUCAAACUUACAGGGUCAUACACCCCUAUCAUCAUGUACCUUAAUCCCUUCCAACUCAUUUGUUAUUUAUUCAACGAAUCCUAACGUUAAAGUACGGGAUGUAACAGCUCUGAAUUCAGUUCAAGCCCCAAAAAUAAUAUGUUUCUUUUAAUACUUCAGUUCAUCAUGUUCCUGAUUUGUUUUUACCUAUGGUUUUGUUGUUCAACAUGUAAUUAAUCUCUUUGCUUCAACAUGCUCUCAUGAACUAGUAACUUGACUCUACUCUGUUUGAUGCAUGUCUACUAGUUCUAGUAUGCACUUGUUGGGCUAUUGCCCAAGUUGUUUUAAUAUUAUGCUCAGUCAUGUUUAGUAUAAAAUCCUAUACUCUACUAUCUCCCAACUCUCAUAAAUCCCCCUAGGCAUCUCUGGUUUUGUAAUUGUGUUCUAAUUAAUACUCCUGAAUCUAUGUCUUACUACCUGCACUAAGAGCAAAGGACUUCUGCCUAUUAUGUGUUUAUCAUACCUGCCUUAUUUGUCCACAACCCCUAAUUGACCUUAUGUGGAGACUUGUUCCCCGAGUGUUUGCUGAACUUGCUUGACUGACCUGCUGUUUGUUGAGUUACAUGACUGUUCUCAAAAGCUAUUUUACUAAACAACCCUCUUAUUUACAAAACUAUUUCAAGCAAAUCUCUUUAACACUGUUUUCCCACUAAAACCUUUCAAACUGUGUCAAGCAUUCUCACUCUACUCCUAAGUCAUUAGGUUCUACCCCCUCCAGUAUGUGUACUGCCUUGGGAUUCUCUUGAGAACCCUCUGAACUCUGACACACUGAGGUUGGCCCUUCCACACUGUACUUACUCAAUUUGGUUACCAAGUCUAGGUGUGAGCACUGUCUGGGAUCCUUGAGAUACUUAGGGAACUCUGACGCACCUAGACAAUGAUAUUGUCUAUGAAAUUGGGCAUUUGAGGCUAUUAGAGGUUUUGGAAAAUCACUUGGGCCUGAUACAGACUCCCUAUAAUGUAACGUCUUCUUUUCCUUUUAUCUAUUUAUGAAAUUUAUUCAUAUGGUCGGUAAUAAUUUGUAAACGGAUAUUGGGGUAACUAGUGGAAAAGGGUGGGUAGUUACAUAUUUGUGGGGUAAUACGGAUAGAAACCAUGCUUAUAGGACUUGAUAUUUUGCUAUAUUUUACCUUACCAUGUUAGAAAUCAUUCCUAUAGGUUUCAAGUGGUUCCAAUAAUAGAAAUCAUGAUUAUAGGUCUUAAAAUCAGCUUCACAAGUAGAUACAAUGUCUAUAGGAUAUGAUCCAGCUCAACUUCUGUUAUAACGAGUGUUUACAUGUGUUUUUUAUUUGUUGUCACGCCUACAAGUUUCUAACAUCAGUACUUAAAUAAUUAGAUGUCAUGCCUAUAAGAAACAAUAUCAGAAACUCUGCCUAGAUCUAAAAUCAGUUUAGUUUAAAUAAGUCAAUCCAAUUCUUGAGUAGUUUGCUUCGAAACUAGUCUAAUUAAAGGUUUGUUUUUUCCUGAAACUAGUCUAUAGGGACUUAAGAGUCAAUCUUAAAUCUGCCCCUAUUUUAUAAAACGUAGUUAUCAUUAUUCCGCAUGUACGCAAGCCUAUAGGACAUUUUCAAAUCCUGUAACUCUGAAACUGUCUCUGUUACUUAAUGUUGUCCUGACUUAACAGGUUUAAAAUCAGUAGGCAAACUGAUAGGGCCAUUACUUCUGAGUUUAUAAAAUAAAAUGCCUAUCUUCUGUGUCUUGAUAUUCACUUAGACAUCCUGCCUUAGGAUACUGUUUAACAAAAGGCCCUUAUCUGUAUCUGAGUCAUGCUGCCUAUGUGCAUUGUUUUGUGGAGGUAAACUUGAGCCUCUAAUUGCUCCCCUUUUGUCUUAUGUGCUAAAGUCCUAAUUGUUCUUGCAUGUCGCCUAAGCAUUUUCUCCUUUAAGCCUUAGGGGUCUGUCUAGAACUACCUAUAGGUAGGGGUCCUAAAUUUCCUCCAGGACCAUUAAGAAGGGACGGGUAACAACAUGCAAUAGAGAUCAUUGACCAACACGCGCUUUAAUAACCACUAAGGGGGUAAUAAGGGUAGAUAUGGGAUAUGAUGACUACGCGCUAAUAUCACGUGUAGCCCCUCAUUGAGGAGUGUUUACCGGACAUUGUGUGGGGUGAUCCUAUAGGCUAACCAACCUAGGACUGCUCCUCUCCCAAAAUUCCUUUUGUUAAAACUUUGUUUCAUAUGUGUACAACUUGUUCAAAAUCUUUGCCUUAUUAAUUGAGUGAUACAACGUGCUUUACUUGCAAAUUAUUUGAUUCAACUAUUUAUUUGUUAAUGGACUAAUUCGUAAAUAUAAGUUCGGUCGGGACCCACCGUUGUGGACCACGAGGGGUGCCUAACACCUUCCCCUCAAGGUUAUUUCGAGCCCUUACCCUAAUCUUUGAUAAUGCAAACUAGUCCAUGAGUUAAUUACUCUAGGUGCCCUGACGUACCUUAAUUCUUUAGGUGGCGACUAUUCAAAUACUCAAUUCCCAAAAGGAAAUGAGUUAUUUCCCCCAUAAAUGUCGAAACUCGGACUUCCCCAUAAAAAAAGGAGGUAAAAAAGGGAUGCGACACACAUCAAGGGCAACACUCCGUUCUACACAAGGAAAAAUGAAUAAAUGAGAGAGUCUUAUUGGGAAAAACCCUCACGGGCACUGUAAGGUGAUGGAAAACUGAGAGAAAACUAAAAUGAGAGAGUCUUAUUGGUAAAAACCCUCGCAUGCACCGUAAGGAGAUAGUGAGUCGAGAGAUGAACAAAUGAGAGAGGUCUGUUGGUGAAAACUUGUCAAGGCACUGCAAGCCGAAUGAGGCACGUGACUUUGCAAAGAGAUUGGAUUAUAGAAAAUCUCGGUUUCGAAGUAUGAAGACAGGGCACAAUAUGAUUAGGUGAACGGUCUGGGCUGAUUAAUCCAAAAUGCAUGUCAUGAUCAUUGGUGCCAGCUACUUCGAUCAGAUAAGUCUCUUUUCCAUUCUUCCUCAAAUAGUCAUCUUGUUUCAAAUUUUCCUCUUUAUUCCUAAUUCUCGAAGUCACUUCUUUUUUAUUUUCUUUUGGGUCUACUUUUCUAAGUCUUUUCCAAUGUUAGCCUUGUUAAGCAAGCAAGAAAGGAUUUCAAAGCUUAUUAUUAACUUUCAGAUUGCACAAAACAAAGUGCUGCCAAAGCAUACCAGAAAUAACACGUUUCAAAAUGAGAAAUAAGGUGUUAAUGGGAGUUCAAGUGGUCAUUUGAUUUCGUGAAUUUUGAGGGAAUAUAAAGGUUCAAAUUGGAAGGACAGAAAUAUAAAAUAGCAGGAUGAGUAUGAGGCACUCGGGUCAUUCAAAGUUCUGUGGUUAAGGUUUGAUCAGAAGGUCAAACAAUUCUUUGCUAGCCCAAGGCGGCUAAUCCGAACAAAGCGGUAGUGGAAAAGUCACCUUCAACAAGAAUGCCACAAACUACCCACCACAUUUUCAAACUGAUAAGAUUUUCUUUGAUUGAAACAGGGGCAGGACAUUUUGUUUGUUCCGGAGGAACCCUAGUGAGGAAAGCAGGUGCUAGACAGGUUCAGUUGUAAAUUUUCAAGACCCUCCUGGAUAAUGGGAUUUAAUUUAAAGUUCUCAGGACCCUCAUGGAUAAUGAGAUUUAAUUUAAAGUUUUCAGGACCCUCCUAGAUAAUGGGAUGUAGUUUUAAGUUGUCAGGACUCUCCUGGAUAAUGAGAUUUAAUUUCGAGUUUUCAGGCCCCUCUUGAAUAAUGGGAUGUAUUUUUAAGUUGUCAGGACCCUCCUGGAUAAUGGGAUUUAAUUUCGAGUUCUCAGGACCCUCUUGGAUAAUAAGAUUUAGUUUCAAGUUUUCAGGGCCCUCCUGGAUAAUGGAAUUUAAGUUCAAGUUUUCAGGACCCUCCUGGAUAAUGGGAUUUAGUUUAAGUUUUACCUUUAGGAAAUAGAAUUCAGCUUUCAGGUUUUCAUUUUUAAGAUGAGAUUUAAUUUUAGUUCUCAGGGCCCUCCAGGAUAAUGGGAUUUUCAACUUUUAAAUUCUUAGGUUUCUUUUGGAUAACAUGAUUCGAUUAACACUCACAGAUAUUCCCAGUACCAAACUGGGGCAGAAAAGUUUGUUUUGUUUUGUCUGUUUUGUUGUAAUGACAGGCACCCACCUGGAGAACAAGGGAAUUCAUUUCAAAGUUCAGCAUCAGGCACCCACCUGGAAAAUAAGGGAAAAUUCAUUUCAAAGUUCAGCAUCAGGCGCCCACCUGGAAAAUAAGGGAAUUCAUUUCAAGUUUUGGCAUCAGGCGCCCACCUGAAAAACAAGGGAAUUCAUUUCGAGUUUAAGCAUCAGGCGCCCACCUAGAUAACAAGGGAAUACAUUUCAAGUUUCGGAUCAGGCGCCCACCUGGAAAACAAGGAAAUGCAUUUCAAGUUUUGCUAUCAGGCGCCCACCUGGAUAACAAGGGAAUACAUUUCAAAGUUUUAGCAUCAGGUGCCCCCUGGAUAACAAAGGAAUACAUUUCAAGUUUUAGCAUCAGGCGCCCACCUGUAUAAUAAGGGAAUAUGUUUCAAGUUUUGGCAUCGGGCACUCACCUGGAUAACAAGGGAAUACAUUUCAAGUUUUUGCAUCAGGCGCACACCAAGAUAACAUGGGAAUACAUUUCAAGUUCUUGCAUCAGGCGCCCACCUAGAUAACAAGGGAAUACAUUUCAAGUUUUUCCAUCAGGCGCCCACCUAGAAAAUAAGGGAAUUCAUUUCAGAACUCAAUUCGAGUUAGCAACAACAGAAGCUCGUCUCGAUGGUGCGAGUCAAUAGUUCAAGAUGCACGGCGGAACAACAGAAGUUUCAAGAUCAAGUUUGAAGAUACAUAGAUAUGAUUCUUGUAACUCAUAGAUCAUAGUUUAGCCUAGCUUCUUUUCAUUUUGNNNNNNNNNNNNNNNNNNNNNNNNNNNNNNNNNNNNNNNNNNNNNNNNNNNNNNNNNNNNNNNNNNNNNNNNNNNNNNNNNNNNNNNNNNNNNNNNNNNNNNNNNNNNNNNNNNNNNNNNNNNNNNNNNNNNNNNNNNNNNNNNNNNNNNNNNNNNNNNNNNNNNNNNNNNNNNNNNNNNNNNNNNNNNNNNNNNNNNNNNNNNNNNNNNNNNNNNNNNNNNNNNNNNNNNNNNNNNNNNNNNNNNNNNNNNNNNNNNNNNNNNNNNNNNNNNNNNNNNNNNNNNNNNNNNNNNNNNNNNNNNNNNNNNNNNNNNNNNNNNNNNNNNNNNNNNNNNNNNNNNNNNNNNNNNNNNNNNNNNNNNNNNNNNNNNNNNNNNNNNNNNNNNNNNNNNNNNNNNNNNNNNNNNNNNNNNNNNNNNNNNNNNNNNNNNNNNNNNNNNNNNNNNNNNNNNNNNNNNNNNNNNNNNNNNNNNNNNNNNNNNNNNNNNNNNNNNNNNNNNNNNNNNNNNNNNNNNNNNNUUUUGGUGUAAUAAGGAGUUCAACAAGCAAUAGCAACGGCAGCAGUAGUGAAAUCACAGCUUCUCGGUAGUCCCAGCUACCAAAACUUCUAGUACUACAAUGACCUGAUUCCUUUAUAGCCAAAGAUAUGUAGGCAACCUCUAAAGCAAGGUUCGGUCAGACUUUUUCCAAAAGAUGUUUCCCAUAGAGUUUCAAACGGGCAAAAAUUCCUCGUAAUUGCUCAUUUUAUCUUUGCUCGAAAACUCUUUGUGUUUCCUUGCAAAGAGGGGCAGCUGUGAGCAUGUGAUUUUUGCCCUAUAUGAAAUACUCCUAUAAAAAUAAAGAAAAUAGAUUUUUUCCAGAUUAUUUGCAAUUUUAUAGGAUUUUGCAGGAUUAUUUUAUUAAUUGUUUGCAUUUUUGUGCACGUCUAAUUCUGUUAAAAUCAUGAAAAAUGUCAAAAAUAUCAUGCAUUGUAUUUAGAUUUAGUGUUUAUAUUUUAGGAUUAAUUAGUUAAUUAAUUUCUUUAUUAAAAUGAAAAUCACAAAAAAAAUCUUUCAUUUUACAUUUUUUAGCCUUUAAUGCUAAUUUAGUAAUUUUUUUUCUUUAAUGUAGGAUCAAUUAUUUUUUUGUAAAUAUUAUAAUUAGAUAAUUAGCUUAAUUUUGUAAACUAGAUUAAUUUAAGAUUUAAUUUAGGAUCUUAAUUAAUUAAUAAAAGAAAAAAAAAACAAAAGAAGAAAGGAAAUUUGGAAAAAAGGUUUGUUUUGGACUCAAUUUGGGCCAAAUAUGUUAAGCCCAAUUAAUUUUGACUCAGAUCCGACCCAGCCCAAUCCCUCUUACCCGGUCCAGCCCCUUUAACAUUAAACGACGUCGUUCCCCUAAGUUUCAAUCCCAGCCGUUGAUCGUCCCAGAUCCAACGGCUGGGAACUGGUCGUCAACUUACUAUAAGACUGUCCGAAGCAGCCCCCCGAACCCCCCCCCCCAUCACUUGGUCUAUGACCAAACCCUAGAGAAGCCAGCUGCCCUAAAAUUCCCCCCACCGUCUCUGCCUUAUUCCGCCGCCGGAAAUCACCCCACGGUGGCGGCGACACUCCAAACUUUCCCAAAUUAGUACCAUACAACCCAUGUCCUCUUAUCUUUCUAAAUCCACCAUUAGUUUCCCAAAAAUCCCCACCUAUUUUAUUUAAAUCUAGAUCUAAGACUUUACACUAAAUCCACUAUAAUUCCAAGUCCUUGCCUCCUAGGGCUCUAUUUUACUCGAGACUUGCGUUAAGCAAUUCUUCUUGUUAAGAACAAUUGACUAACGCUAGUCUUGACUUGUUUCGAGGGUCGCCGGCUUCCGACCAAGGUCACUGAUGCCCAACAAAGUUCGUCACUCUCAUCAUUCGUUGACCUGCUUUAGGCGUCAUGUUCAUUUUGGUUAAAAACCAGUAACCUCCUCUUUACUUUCUUUGUUUGGUUUUGUUUUUCUGAUUUUACUUUUCUUUUAUUUAAUUUUAUUUUAUUAUCUACCUAUUUAGUUUAAUUUGGAUUCUUAACUGUUUAGGCUAGAUUUUUCAUAAUUUUCUUUUCUUAUGUUAGUUCUUCUUUUUUUUCCUGUUCUUUUUUCUUUAUUCUGGUAUUUAAUUGCAUGUUUUAGGUUAUUUAGGAUAUUUUGUGUUAUUUUUAUCAGUUUGAUUUAAAUGCUCCAUGUCAGUUCAUCCUUUGUUGUUUGUCUCUUAAACUUAAUUUGAUUUAUAUAAUAUUUUAUUGUGGUUUAGGUAGCCGUUUGAAUUAGACUUCUUGUGUUUCAAAUCAGAGAUUCACCAUGAAAUUAGUUUAUUCUAGUUUAUUUUUUUUAAAAUGUUCAGAUGUUCAAAAUUCAGUCACAUUGUCUAGUUUUGUUGUUUGAUUUGCAUUGACUUGUCCGUUGUGUUUGCCUUAAUUUGUAAGUCAUUAGAAACUUGUAGGUUUAAUUGAACAAUAAUGGAAACUUAAGGAGUUUGUUUGAAGGGUGGAUAAGUAUGGAAUAGGAUAAAAUCAUGUGGGAAGGUUCUAGAAUAGGGGCAGUUGGCUCUAUUUGGCCAGCAUAAAAAUGCUGAAACCAAUUAGAGGCUGCCAGCUGUCCCAUUUCUGUUAGGAAGAUGCUUUUAGGGGUUGUGUGAGGGAAUAAUUCCCGAUUUUUUCUAUUUCUCAGCACAUGGUAUUUUCAGUGGCUUAUAUAUAGAACCCUUCCCUUACUCCUUAGACAGAUUUGGAACCCUAGAAAAGACUAAAAACAUUCUGCAUUGUUUGAGUGAGAGCUGGAUUUUUUUCUUCUGAUUUUCUUUAGCAAAGAUUAUAAAAACAUUCCCUAGAUUUCUGUUUUUUUGGGCUUGGUUACAGAUUAAAUUGAAGUUGCUAUUGCUGUUGACUAACUGCUGAUCUUUAUUCAUUCUUAGCUUGAAGUUCUUAUUUCAUUCUCUUUUGCUGUAUCCAGGUAUGUUCAUGAGCUUGAUGUGAUAAAAAAUGGAAUUGUAGCAUGUUGAUUUGGAAUUUGACUCUCGAUUUAUACUUAGCUAAAUGUUUUUCUAUUGUUCUUCUUCAUUUGAAUAUGUAACUUCUUUUAGUCCUGCUUAAGUACUGUCGAUACUGAUGCUAAUGUAUUUAGAUGGUUUAGACAUUCAAGUUAUUUUAAUUCAUCUAUGUUGGUUUAACGAUUUACUAUAUUUAGUAGUUGUAAUUAUUUGGUACUUUGUUAAAGGUUAUUGAAUAUACAUUUAUGUGUGUGAAUUGUUGAGCAUGAUGGCGUGUGUAGAUUUAAAUUAGUCCAUGAAUGAGUUCAGGAGUCGAUCUCUUGUUGAUUGAUAUUAAUAGCAUGUUUAAACAAAUUAAUUCAUAAUAGUUGACUAAUACUCUACAUUUUUAGUAAUUGGAUAAUUGGUUUCUAUGCCCAAAAAAUGAAAUCAGGCACAAUCAAGGCCUAGACAUCAAAGGUCCUUUAUUUAAGAUAACUGGGCCUGGUAUUUGGCCUAGACGAGGCAGCUGGUUUUUAAACUAAGCCCCAUAUGAAUGACUUCUUUUUUCUUUCACUUUCUGGGCUCAAUUUUGGCCCAAGUAUUUUCAGCGCAUUUCUUCCUAAAAUUUCUGUUGAUAUAAUAAAGUUUUUUGCAACAUUGAAAGCCUGCCUUUAAAGGUUGGGCCUAGUACUGGCCCAAUGGAACUCGCCGGACUUAUCUUGGCCCUUUUGUCCUCACUCUUGGGCUCCACUUUGAGCCCAGUGCCUGCCAGCUGUUGUUCUUCUCUUAAAGACUUUUGCAUAUAACAAAUUGGGCCUACUGCUGGCCCACUUCUUCUCAAAACAAUUAAAAGCCUAAUAUAUUAUCCAAUGCAUAUUCACAAUCAGUAGCUACACAUUAAAUUUCAAACUUAAUUUUAAAUAUGAAUACCCAUGGUUUGCUUUAAUUUGAGUACAAAUUCUUUAAAUAAGUUGAGGUGUGCCACUCAAUCGCAUAGUCUACGGCCCUCACAUCAUUGUCUUAACUAAUGUAGAAAAAUGCUUUGAACUCUCGUAGUUUUCUUUAGGCGCGUUAAUUAAAUAAAUUAUCAUGGCUACGGGUACGGUUCCCGUGACAUAGUUGUGAUACUUAAUUUUCAAAUUUGGGGGUACAUUUAUGUGACCCGACCAUAACAACUAAUAAUGUCAACAAUUUAAACAUGUUGUGUGUCGUGGGUACGGUUCCCGUGACACGAUCCGCAAUGUGUACCAAACAAAUAAGUGUACAACAAUCGUAACUUGUUCCAGAAUAAUUCCAUAAAUAAUUAAAAGAGUCAAAAGCUAAAAAAGCAUGUAGGUUUUAAAUGUGUAAUUAAUAAGAUAAUUAGGCCAAUAACAAUAGUUGGGCGACCGUGCUAAAACCACGGAACCCGAGAAUGCCUAACAUCUUCUCCCGGGUUAACAAAAUCCCUUACCCGGAUUUCUGUGUUUCGCGAACUAUAAAACAGAGUCAAACAUACUUGAUUCUGGAUUUUAAACGGGUGACUUGGGACACUAUGAAUUAUCUCAAGUGGCGACCCUGAAUUUAAAAUAAAUAAUCUCAUUUUAAUUAUUGUCACUUUUAUUGGAAAACCUUCCCGAUACCCCUUUCGAGGUAGAAAAAGGAGGUGUGACAGCGAAGUUCGACGGAUUAUGUACCCAGCAGAGUGAUUUCAUUUUUGAAGGCCCUUCGUGAGGGAUGUUAGUGUAAAGACUCCUAUCAUUGAUUCAAUUUCGGUUCCGAUGGACUUUCCGGAUGUGUUUUCUGCAGACCUGUCGGGCAUGCCACCGGACAGAGAUAUUGAUUUUGGUAUUGAUUUGGUGCCGGGCACUCAGCCCAUUUCUAUUCCACCUAUCGUAUGGCAUCGACGGAGUUGAAGGAGGUGAAGGAGCAGCUUCAGGAGCUCCUUGAUAAGGGGUUUAUUCGGCCUAGUGUGUCACCGUGGGGUGCGCCUAUCUUAUUUGUGAAGAAGAAGGAUGUCACUAUGAGAAUGCACAUCGAUUACAGGCAGCUGAACAAGGUCACAAUCAAAAAAAGUAUACUUUGCCUCGUAUUGAUGAUUUAUUUUACCAGCUUUAGGGAGCGAGAGUGUUCUCUAAGAUUGAUCUCCGUUCAGGGUAUCACCAGUUGAAGAUCAGGGACUCGAACAUUCUUAAGACAGCCUUCAAGACCGGUUAUGGUCAUUAUGAGUUCCUUGUGAUGUCUUUUGGGCUGACUAAUGCCCCAACAGCGUUCAUGCAUUUGAUGAACAAUGUGUUUCGACCUUAUCUCGACUCUUUUGUCAUUGUAUUCAUUGAUGAUUUUCUGAUGUACUCGCGUAGUCAGGAGGAGAAUGCGGAGCAUUUGAGAGUCGUGUUGCAGCGAUUGAGAGAGGAGAAACUUUAUGCAAAGUUCUCCAAGUGUGAGUUUUGGCUCAGUUCAGUGACUUUCUUGGGACACGUGGUGUCCAGUGAGGGUAUUCAGGUUGAUCCGAAGAAGAUAGAGGCAGUUCAGAGUUGGCCCAGACCGUCCUCAGCCACAAAGAUUCGCAAUUUUCUUGGUUUGGCGGGCUAUAACUGUCGGUUCGUUUAGGGAUUUUUAUCUAUAGCAUCACCCAUGAACAAAUUGACUCAAAAGUGUGCUCCUUUCAUGUGGUCGAAUGAGUGUGAGAUGAGCUUUCAGAAGCUCAAGAUUGCCUUAACCACAACUUCAGUGUUAGUUUUUUCAUCAGCUUCGGGUUCAUAUACAGUGUAUUGUGAUGUAUCGAGAAUUGGUAUUGGGUAUGUGUUGAUGUAGGAGGGUAGAGUGAUUGCUUAUGCUUAUCGUCAGUUGAAGCCACAUGAGAAGAACUACCCCGUUCAUGAUUUGGAAUUGGCUGCCAUUGUCCACACGUUGAAGAUUUGGAGGCAUUAUCUCUAUGGUGUGUCUUGUGAGGUGUUUACUGAUCAUCGUAUCCUCCAGCACUUGUUCAAGCAGAAGGAUCUCAAUUUGAGGUAGCGGAGAUGGUUAGAGCUGCAAAAGGAUUAUGAUAUUACUAUCUUGUACCAUCCGAGGAAGCAAUGUAGUGGUCGAUGCUUUGAGUAGGAAGGUGGUGAGUAUGGGCAUUCUUACAUUUAUUCCUAUUGGGGAGAGACCUCUUGCAGUUGAUGGUCAGACCUUGGCCAAUCCGUUUGUGAGGUUGGAUAUUUCGGAGCCCAGUCGGGUCUUAUCUUGUGUGAUUUCUUGGUCUUCCUUGUUCGAUCGCAUCAGAGAGUGCCAGUAUGAUGAUCCUUAUUUGCUUGUCCUUAAGGACAAAGUUUAGCACGAUGAUGCCAAGGAUGUGACUAUUGGUGAUGAUGGAGUAUUGAGGAUGCAGGGCCGGAUAGAUGUGCCCAAUGUAGAUGGGCUUGGGGAGUUGAUUUUGGAGGCGACCCAUAUAUAGCUCGCGGUAUUCCAUCCAUCCAGGUGACGCAAAACUGUAUCAGGAUUUGAGACAACAUUAUUGGUGGAGAAGAAUAAAGAAGGAUAUUGUGGAAUUUGUAGUUCAGUGUCUCAAUUGUCAGCAGGUGAAAUAUGAGCAUCAGAGACCAAGCGGCUUGCUUCAGCAGAUAGAUAUUCCAGAGUGGAAGUGGGAGCGGAUCACCAUGGACUUUGUAGUUGGACUCCCACAGACUUUGAAGAAGUUCGAUGCUAUUUGAGUGAUUAUGGAUCGGCUGACCAAGUCCGUGCACUUCAUUCUUGUGUGUACUACCUAUUCUUCAUAGCGGUUAGCAGAGAUUUAUAUCCGAGAGAUUGUUCGCUUGCAUAGUGUCCCAGUUUACAUUAUUUCAGAUAGAGGUAAUUAGUUUACUUCAUAGUUUUGGAGGGUCGUGCAGCGAGAGUUGGGUACUCAGGCUGAAUUGAGCACAACUUUUCACCCUCAGACGGACGGGCAGUCCGAGAGCACUAUUUAGAUAUUGGAGGACAUGUUGCGCACUUGUGUCAUUAAUUUUGGAGGGUUAUGGGAUCAGUUUCUGCCACUUGCAGAGUUUGCUCAUACCAGUAGUUAUCAGUUGAGUAUUCAGAUGACUCCAUAUGAGGCUUUAUAUGGGAGGCGGUGUAGAUCUCCAGUUGGUUGGUUUGAACUGGGUGAGGCUAGGCUUAGGGGUACAGACUUAGUGCAGGAUGCUUUGGACAAGGUAAAGGUGAUUCAGGAGCGGCUUCGUACAGUGCAAUCCAAACAAAAGAGUUAUGCUGUCACAGGAAGGUCCGUGAUGUGUCUUACAUGGUUGGGGAGAAGGUUCUACUGAAGGUUUCACCCAUGAAGGGUGUUAUGAGAUUUGGGGAGAAUGGUAAAUUGAGUCCUCGGUUCAUUGGGCAUUUUGAGGUGCUUCGGAGGUUGAGGAGGUGGCUUAUAAGCUUGUUUUGCCACCUAGCUUGUCAAGUGUGCAUCCGGUAUUUCAUGUUUCUAUACUCCCGAAGUAUAUUGGCGAUCCAUCUCAUGUUUUGGAUUUCAGCACGGUUCAGUUGGGCGAUAAUUUGACUUAUGAUGUGGAGCCAAUGGCUAUUUUGGAGCGUCAGGUUCGAAAGUUGAGAUCAAAGUAUAUAGCUUCAGUGAAAGUGCAGUGGAGAGGUCGGCCCAUGGAGGAGGCUACCUGGGAGACCGAGCGAGAGAUGCGGAGCAGAUACCCUCACCUAUUUGAGGCUUUAGGUAUAUUUCUUGGCCCUUUCGAGGACGAACUUUUGUUUAAGAGGGGGAGGAUAUAACGACCCGGUCGGUCGUUUCAUGAGUUACCGCUAUGUUUCCCCCAUUUCUGCUUCUUUAUGUCUUGUUCAGCUAUAUACUAUGUGGUAUCAAGUUGGUUGGUUCGGGUUCGGGGUGGUUUUAUAGAGGAAUGAGAUACUUAGUCUCUUUUGAGUAAGCUUAAGUUGGGAAAAAAAGUCAAGCGAAUGUUGACUUAUGGGUAGAAGGCCUCGGAUGUGAAUUUUCAUGGUUCGAAUAGCUUCGUUACGUGAUUUGGGACUUAAGAAUAUGAUCGGAAUGUGUUUGGAGGUCCGUGGAAGAUUUAGGCUUGAAUUGGCAAAAUUAGAAAUUUGGAAUUUCCUGUCAGCAAUGGAAAUUUCGAUAUCCAGGUCGGAAUGGAAUUCCUGAAAUUGGAGUAGGUCCUUUAUGUCAUUUGGGAUGUGUGUGAAAAAUUUCAGGUCAUUCAGACGAGGUUUGAUAGACUUUUUGAUCGAUUGCGAAAUUUGAAAUGUUUUAAGUUCUUAGGCUUGAAUCCAAGGUUGAUUUGGUGUUUUGUCAUUGUUUUGAGUGUUCCGAAGGUUGGAACAAGUUUGAAUGAUGUUAUGAAAUGUAUUGGCAUGUUUGAUUGAGGUCCCGAGGGCCUCAGAUAAGUUUCGGGUGGUUAACAGACCAAUUCUUGGUUUUGGAGAGUUGCAGAUUUUACUAGUUUUUGUUGCAAAAGAAUUUGUUUUUCGCGUUCGCGAAGAUAGUCCCGCGUUCGCGAAGAAGAGCUAGGCCUAGAGGAGAAAAUGUUCUUCACAUUUGCGAGUCUGGGGUCGCGUUCGUAUGGUUUUGGAUUCCAGUGAACCGUGAACGCAUGAGAGGAGUCGCGUUCGCGUAGGGUAAUUGGAGCACCUGGGACCCCAAGAGUUUUUGCAUCGCGUUCGCAUAGGUAAGGUCGCGUUCGCGAAGGCUUGGACAGCUGAGGCCUCGUGUUCGCGUGAAGGAAGUCGCGUUCGCGAAAGAGGAUUUAUUUGGUCAGUAAUUUUUGUGCUUCGCGAACGCGAGGCCUUGGCCGCAUUAGCAAAGAAGGAAAUUAUACCUGGGCAGAAGGUUUAAAUAGAGGUCUUCGCGAUUUUUAGCCAUUUUUCACCAUUGUUGAGCGGUUUUGAAGCUUUUUGAGAGGGAUUGAAAGAGGGAUUCGAAGGCAAACGCUUGGAGGUAAGAUUUUUGAACCCAAUACUCGAUUCUAUGGUGAUUUCUAACUGAUUAGACAUGAAAUUAGUGAGAUUUAAAACCUAAACUUGGGGAAUUAGGGUUUAAAUUGGAGAGUGUAAAUUGGGGAUUUGAGGGGUCAUUUGAGGUCCGAUUCUAAUAUUCUUGGUAUGUAUGGACGCGUGGGAGGAUAUGGAUUUUAUUAAUGUAACUUUUAUCGGAUUUUGAGAUGCGAGCUAGGGGUCGAGUUUGACCAAUUUCGGGAUUUUGAUGUAAUUUGAUUAUUUUCGCGUGAGCUUUGUUCCCUUAGCAUACAUUGAUGUUACGAUUCUGAUUUUGGUUAGAUUCGGGGCAUUUGGAGACCAAAUCGAGAGACAAGGGCAUCGUGGGCUAGAGUUUGGCUUGGCUUGAGGUAAGUAACGCUUCCAAACUUGGUUCUAAAGGUUCGAAACCUCGAACUAUGUGUUCUAUGAUAACUAUUGAGGUGACACAAAAUACCAAGUGAUGGGCGUGUGGGUGUGCACCAUCAGAAGUGCAGCCUAGAUCAUUCCAUGGCACCGCUUAGUAACUCUUUCUUGUUGAUAUCCAUGUUCCUAUCAUGUGAUUAAGUAUAUGUGCUUUGAAAAUAUGCUAGAUAUCCUAUAAGGGCUUCACGCCGAUACUGUUGAGACUCGAGGGAUCGUUUCUUGCUGUCAUAUCAUUAGCUUUAUUGAUAUUUAGUACUCAGUCAUGUUCAUGCAUAUUAUAUCAUGUCUCAGUCUCAGUUAUAUUAUUUGGCACAUUAUAUCAUUGUUUCGGGCUAGUUUUAUGACAUUGUGAGCCCGUGAGUGUGAGACCGGAGAGUGAUGACUAAGCGAGGCCGAGAGUCUAAUUAUGAGUGACAGUUAUGGGAUCCGGCGACACGUCGCAGCGGUUAUGUUGAUGAUUAUGAUAACGCUUGGCCUGUAGGAGCUCCUCCGGAGUCUGUAACACCCCCCAAUAAGUGUAGUUGAUGAUAUUGAGGGAUGGAUCUUCCCUGGACAUGAAUCUUGUCCUAAGUAUUUAUACCUGGAGAUGGAUAUUCCCAUAGGGCUGGAAUGGCCUUCCUCGGUACUGGAUGACUGCGGUCAGUGAUGUAUAUAUUCCGAGAUGGAUCUUUCCUGGACCAGAUGGCCAUAUAUACAGUAUCGAGUGGUUGAGCACUUAUGAGUGAAGGUACAUGGAACAUUGAUCAUGCUAGUUGUGUAUUGGUACGUAGAGAGUUCCUGAGUUUUAUACUCCGUACUGUUCAGAAUGCAUUUAUUUAUUGUUGAGUUUUUACUUGAACUGCAAGCAUGUCUACUUUUCUGUACAGUUAAUGAUAUUACCUGUUGAGGUUUGGUUUGUCACUACCUGUCAGUCCAUAGUUUGGACUUGUUACUUACUAAGUUGGUGUACUCACAUUACUCCCUGCACCUUGUGUGCAGAUCCAAGUAUCUCGGGUCACGGUAGCGGUUGCUGAUCAUUUCAGUGGUGGACUUUCCUUGGAGAUAGCGAGGUAGCUGCCUGGCGAUCGCAGUCCUGCCCUCUCCUUCCUUAUCUUCCUCUUAGUAUAUUUGUUGGAUAUUCUCGGACUAUGUUAGUUUUGUUUUGAUUUCUACUUUUACCUUUUAUCGGAAUUCUGUUAAAAAUAAGAUUUUUCUUAAGUUCUAAAUGAAAUAUGGAGUAUUUGAAAAUAAGUUGGCUGGCCUAGUUUCACGAUAGGCGCCAUCACGAUCGGGUCGAUUUUUGGGUCGUGAUAGGACACUCAACCCAUUUCUAUUCUGCCAUAUCGUAUGGCCCCGCCAGAGUUGAAAGAAUUGAAAGAACAGUUGCAAGACUUGCUUGAUAAGGGCUUUAUCAGACCUAGUGUCUUGCCCAGGGGUGCGUCGUUGUUGUUUUUUAAGAAAAAGGAUGGGUCGAUGAUGAUGUACAUAGACUAUCGACAAUUGAACAAAGUCUCCAGAAAGAACAAGUAUCCAUUGCCAAGGAUUGAUGAUUUGUUUGACCGCUUCAGGGUGCCAAGAUAUUUUUGAAGAUUGAUUUGAGAUUUGGAUAUCAUCAGUUUAGGAUUUGGGCAUCCGAUGUCCCUAAGACAGCUUUUCGCACUCGGUACGGGCAUUAAGAGUUCUUAGUGAUGUCAUUUGGGUUGACAAAUGCCCCAGCAACUUUUAUGGAUUUGAUGAAUCGGGUGUUCAAGCCUUAUAUGGAUUCAUUUGUGAUUGUUUUCAUUGAUGAUAUCUUGAUCUACUCCCGCAGCCAAGAGGAGCACGAGUAGCAUCUUCGAGUCGUUCUCCAGACUCUGAGAGAUAGUCAGUUGUAUGCUAAGUUUUUGAAAUGUGAGUUUUGGUUGAGUUUAGUAGCAUUCCUGGGUCACAUCGUAUCAGCAGAGGGUAUUCAGGUGGAUCCUAAGAAGAUUGAGGCAGUCAAGGACUGGCCUAGACCCACAUCAGCUACAGAGAUCCGGAGUUUCUUGGGUUUGGCGGGUUAUUACCAUCGCUUUGUGGAGGGGUUUCAUAUAUAGCAGCCCUGAUGACCAGGUUGACCCAAAAGGGUGCCUAGUUCAGGUGGUCGGACGAGUGUGAGGCGAGCUUUUCAGAAGAUCAAGUCACCUUUGACUACUAUGUCGGUGUUGGUAUUGCCCACAGGUUCAAGGCCAUAUACAGUAUAUUGUGAUGCAUCUCAUAUUGGAAUUGGUGCGGUGUUGAUGCAGAAUGGCAAGGUUAUUACAUACGCUUCGCGGCAUUUGAAGAUUCACAAGAAGAAUUACCUAGUUCAUAAUUUGGAGCUAGAAGCCAUUAUUCACACGCUGAAGAUUUGGAGCCACUAUUUAUAUGGCGUGUCAUGUGAGGUGUUCACGGAUCACAAGAGUUUGUAAUACUUGUUCAAGAAAAAGGAGCUAAAUUUGAGGCAGAUGAGGUGGUUGGAGCUGUUGAAAGACUAUGAUAUCAUCAUCUUGUAUCAUCCUGGGAAGGCCAAUGUGGUGGACGAUGCUUUGAGCAGGAAGUCAGCCAGUAUGGGCAGCCUUGCGUAUAUUCCAGUCGGUGAGAGACCGCUUGCUUUGGAUGUUCAGGAUUUAGCCAAUCAGUUCGUGAGGUUGGAUGUUUCUGAGCCCAGCCGUGUUCUAGCUUGCACAGUCGGUUGUUCUUCAUUAUUUGAGCGUAUCAUAGAUCGGCAGUAUGAUGAUCCUUAUUUGCUUGUCUUUAGAGACACAGUGUGGCAUGCAAGUGCCAAGUAGGUUACAGUUGGAGAUGACGGAGUUUUAAGGAUGCAGGGUUUAGUUUGUGUGCCUAAUGUGGAUGGACUUCGUAAGUUAAUUCUAGAGGAGGCCCAUAGUUUCUGGUAUUCUAUUCAUCCAGGCACCGCUAAGAUGUAUCAGGACUUGCGGCAGCAUUAUUGGUGGAGGAGGAUGAUCAAGGAUAUUGUUGCGUAUGUAGCUCGGUGUUUGAAUUGUCAACAUGUAAAGUACGAGCAUCAGAGACCUGGUGGUUUGCUUCAGAAGAUUGAGAUUCCUGAGUGGAAGUGGGAGCGUAUCGCUAUGGACUUCGUUGUUGGACUCCCACGGACUUAGAGGAAGUUCGACGCAGUAUGGGUUAUUGUAGAUAGGCUGACUAAGUCAGCGCAUUUUAUUCCUGUGGCAGUUUCCUAUUCUUCUGAGCGGUUGGCAGAGAUUUAUAUUCGUGAGAUCGUUCAUCUUCAUGGUGUGCACGUGUAUAUCAUUUCUGACCGAGGUAUGCAUUCUACAUCGCAUUCUAGAGGGAAGUACAACGUGAGUUGGGUACGCAGGUCGAGUUGAGCAGAUCAUUUCAUCCUCAGACGGACGGACAGUCCGAGUGUCGCUCCCCGUUUUCUCGUGAAAGCGGGCUUAGACAUGUGACAACUCUUUUAAAUGAAGGUUUUUAAAAUAGAAGAGUCGCCACCUAACGAUUUUAAGGUGCAUUAGAGUACCUAUUUGCAGAUAACUCUGUUUGACUAGUCUACGUUACCAAAGAUCAGGUAAGGGCUCAAAUUACCUCAAAGAGAAGGUGUUAGGCACUCUUCGAGGUCCACAUUUAUGGUUCCCGACCGAAUUUUAAACUAUGUGGGAUUAUUGGGUUAAGCAUAACUAUGCGACAAUAAAGAAAUUAAAUAAACUAAGUUGCUCAUUUUUAUGUCUUUAAAACAAGAUGUGGAAUCCUAUUUUCCCGAAGAAAAUUAAAUUAAACUAGAUGCAAAACAUAUACUUUACAUAACGAUCUUUACUAGAUGCAAGGCCAUAUGUGAUCAAUAAGUAUGUAACUGCAAACUAGCUAGGUGCCAAUCCUAAUUUUUAAACUGAAAAUCACAUUGAGGGUAAAUUAUAUAGAAAAAUAAAUAAACAUGCAAACAAAUAUCAAAUAAGCGCAUAAUAAAAUAUUGAGAGUGCAUAAGAGAGCAAAAAUAAAUGACUAACCUCCCUCCAAGGGAUUUAAAGUAAGCAUCUUAUGGACAUUUAGAACUCUUAAAUUGGUCACCAAAGAAGCAGAAACAGGUAAGUGGGUAGACUUCUUUUCCUCGAUGGCGAGUUGCCAACGAAUUCUUGUGGUAAUCGCGGCUCAAACACAAGGAAAGAAAAAAAAGUUAUUAAUAAAAUGUGCGCCACCUUAAGGGCAUGGCUUUAUGACAAUUGUUAAUCACAUGCCAUUCAACCUUGGUGGCGAGUUUAAUGUUGAGGUCAAAUUAAUAUAUAAAUAAGUAAAGCACACGUAGUUUGACUAGCCGGUUGAAAAGGAGUAUCAGGCAGGUAAUAAGUAAUUUAGUAAACGAAAACAUGCCAGACCUCACAAAUAUUGCAACAAGUUCACAUAAUAAGCGAAUAUUCUUACAGUGAAGAAGAUCAAAUUAAUAAAUAAAAAAAAUUAAAAAAGAAAGACCGACCUAGUCACUUUUAAAAAAGUACUGCUGUGUAUUGGUUCGAGGACUCGACCUCAAUGUCCUUAGCCUCUCACAAAUUAUUGAUUAACUUAGAGAGGGCUCACGCACAUUUAGCACAAAAAAAUAAAUACAUGAAGAGGUUGAACUAGAACGACUAAUCAGAUUGAUGCUAAGUAUUGUUGCUAGACGUGUUACUUUUCUAGAAAGUUGAAAAUAGAAGCAAACUACCAUAUUUAUCUAGUCUUAAAUAAAAGAAGUAGAGAGGUGACAUUUAGAUAUAUCCUCAUGAACCUUUUAAAGAUUCUUUUAGUUUUACAUGAUCUAUACAAAGAGCACCACCAACUAGUGAAACAAAAGUAAAUACAUAGAAAGAUAAAAACUAGCUUUAUAAAGUCACUUCUUAUAAUCAACUUAAUUAUUCCUACUUAGUUUUUUAACAAAUCUGAUUCUCAUUAACUUUAUUACAAAAUGACACAUUCUCUUGAACCUAGUAGAGCAGUCGAGAAUAGCUAAGCAUGAAAUGAUGAAACAAUAUGCACAAAGUAAAAAAGGAAAACUAUUCCAAUAAUGUGAAUACGCUAUAGCGACUACCAAAAUUUCCUUAACACAUAUGCGCAAUUACUGACAAGCAAAUUUUACAAAGCAAAAAUACCAGAUAAAUAUCAUAUAGUUAACUCAAAGAUUAAUCAAACAAUCAUAGAGUAGUAUUGGAGAAAAUUAAAGGGAAGCCGAGCCGAACUUUUGAAUCCUGACAACGAAUAUAGAAAGUCAUAAAUAUCGAACUUCAUAUUUAUAAGGGAAUUGUACCGUGACAGCAAUAGCGGGUAGAUUUUGAGGGUAGAGCCAUGUUUUAGCAAUUCCUAAACAUCAUCGGCCGAACAACGAAGCAACAACGUAAAUUGCAGCAAGAGACAUAAUUGUGAAAGCGGAUUCCAAGCGAGUUUUCAAUGCAAGUGAGUGCAGUGACAAACAGUGAAAGGGGAGAUUAAUAAGAUGGUGAAGAUAAGUGGAGAAAUUAAAGAAAAUUAAGGAUAGUGGGGAUGCGUUUGAGGCGCGAUAGUGGAAGAGGUCGAUGGAAGAACAAUAGAGUUGAUAGAAAAAAAUGUGGAAGAUGAUUGUCUUCUUUUUCUUUUAUUGUAGAGAGAUGAAGAAGAGGGUAUAUGUCAUCCCCCUCUGUGUGAAAAAAUCAUGAUAUUUAAGAGAAGACAUGAGGAAAAAAACGUUAGGGAGAGUGACAAUUUUUAUGGAAAAGGAGUGAUUUUGGGGAGUGAUCCGUUUGAGAUUAUAUUAGGAAAAUUAAC
RNAcentral lists this long non-coding RNA (25087 nucleotides) under Nicotiana tabacum (common tobacco). RNAcentral describes it as "long non-coding RNA (NTAB_LNC014802)". The record is from RNAcentral. Lineage: Eukaryota; Viridiplantae; Streptophyta; Magnoliopsida; Solanales; Solanaceae.